Myotis myotis is the source of this 104-nucleotide small nuclear RNA. Lineage: Eukaryota; Metazoa; Chordata; Mammalia; Chiroptera; Vespertilionidae. The record is from RefSeq and is a predicted model, not a curated record.
GUGCUCGCUUCGGCAGCACAUAUACUAAAAUUGGAACGAUACAGAGAUUAGCGUGGCCCCUGUGCAAGGAUGACAUGCAAAUUCAUGAAGCGUUCCAUAUUUAA